AUUGAACGCUGGCGGAAUGCUUUACACAUGCAAGUCGAGCGGCAGCGCGGGGCAACCUGGCGGCGAGCGGCGAACGGGUGAGUAAUACAUCGGAACGUACCCUGUCGUGGGGGAUAACGAGUCGAAAGAUUCGCUAAUACCGCAUACGACCUGAGGGUGAAAGGGGGGGAUCGCAAGACCUCUCGCGAUAGGAGCGGCCGAUGUCGGAUUAGCUAGUUGGUGAGGUAAAGGCUCACCAAGGCGACGAUCCGUAGCGGGUCUGAGAGGACGGCGCGCCACACUGGAACUGAGACACGGUCCAGACUCCUACGGGAGGCAGCAGUGGGGAAUUUUGGACAAUGGGGGCAACCCUGAGCCAGCCAUUCCGCGUGAGUGAAGAAGGCCUUCGGGUUGUAAAGCUCUUUCGGCAGGAACGAAACACCGGCUCUAACACAGUCCGGGAAUGACGGUACCUGAAGAAUAAGCACCGGCUAACUACGUGCCAGCCGCCGCAGUAA
RNAcentral lists this ribosomal RNA (497 nucleotides) under uncultured bacterium. RNAcentral describes it as "partial 16S ribosomal RNA". It matches the Rfam family "Bacterial small subunit ribosomal RNA", at positions 29 to 523 of the family's 1533-position model. The record is from RNAcentral.